Molecule: ribosomal RNA, 272 nt
Filed under: Priestia megaterium
Lineage: Bacteria; Bacillati; Bacillota; Bacilli; Caryophanales; Bacillaceae
Description: Bacillus megaterium partial 23S ribosomal RNA
Rfam family: Bacterial large subunit ribosomal RNA
Source: RNAcentral
GGGCACUGUCUCAACGAGAGACUCGGUGAAAUUAUAGUACCUGUGAAGAUGCAGGUUACCCGCGACAGGACGGAAAGACCCCGUGGAGCUUUACUGUAGCCUGAUAUUGAAUUUUGGUACAGCUUGUACAGGAUAGGUAGGAGCCUGAGAAGCCGGAGCGCUAGCUUCGGUGGAGGCGUCGGUGGGAUACUACCCUGGCUGUAUUGAAAUUCUAACCCGCGGCCCUGAUCGGGCCGGGAGACAGUGUCAGGUGGGCAGUUUGACUGGGGCGG